CCUACCAAGGCGACGAUGGGUAGCCGGCCUGAGAGGGUGUCCGGCCUCACUGGGACUGAGAUACGGCCCAGACUCCUACGGGAGGCAGCAGUCGAGAAGCUUCGGCAAUGGACGAAAGUCUGACCGAGCGACGCCGCGUGAGCGAUGAAGGCCCCAGUGGUCGUAAAGCUCUGUCAGGAGGGAAUAAAUACCCGCGAUUAAUACCCGCGGGGGCUGAAGGUACCUCCAGAGGAAGCGCCGGCUAACUACGUGCCAGCAGCCGCGGUAAUACGUAGGGCGCAAACGUUGUUCGGAUUUACUGGGUAUAAAGGGUUCGUAGGCGGACUGAUAAGUCAGAGGUGAAAGCCAACGGCUCAACCGUUGAAUUGCCUCUGAUACUGUCAGUCUUGAGUCCGUUAGGGGAUAGUGGAAUUCCUGGUGUAGCGGUGAAAUGCGUAAAUAUCAGGAGGAACACCAGUGGCGAAGGCGGCUAUCUGGGACGGAACUGACGCUGAGGAACGAAAGCAUGGGUAUCAAACGGGAUUAGAUACCCCGGUAGUCCAUGCUGUAAACGAUGGGCACUAGGUGUUGGAGGACUCUACCCCUUCAGUGCCGAAGCUAACGCAUUAAGUGCCCCACCUGGGGAGUACGAUCGCAAGGUUGAAACUCAAAGGAAUUGACGGGGGCCCGCACAAGCGGUGGAGCAUGUGGUUUAAUUCGAUGCAACGCGAAGAACCUUACCUGGACUUGACAUGCAGGAGACAGCCGUAGAGAUACGGUUUCCUUCGGGUUCCUGCACAGGUGCUGCAUGGCUGUCGUCAGCUCGUGUCGUGAAAUGUUGGGUUAAGUCCCGCAACGAGCGCAACCCUUGUCCUUAGUUGCCAUCAGGUAAUGCUGGGAACUCUAAGGAGACUGCCGGUGUCAAACCGGAGGAAGGUGGGGAUGACGUCAAGUCCUCAUGGCCCUUACGUCCAGGGCUACACACGUGCUACAAUGGUCGGUACAAUGGGCAGCAAGACCGCGAGGUGGAGCGAAUCCCAAAAAGCCGGCCUCAGUUCGGAUCGUAGUCUGCAACUCGACUACGUGAAGCUGGAAUCGCUAGUAAUCGCGCGUCAGCAUGGCGCGGUGAAUACGUUCCCGGGCCUUGUACACACCGCCCGUCAAGUCAACCGAGUUGGUUGCACCCCAAGUCGCUGAGCUAACCCUUCGGGGAGGCAGGUGCCCA
Molecule: ribosomal RNA, 1204 nt
Filed under: metagenome
Description: bacterial SSU rRNA
Rfam family: Bacterial small subunit ribosomal RNA
Source: RNAcentral